This 253-nucleotide ribosomal RNA is filed under the name uncultured bacterium. RNAcentral's name for it is "partial 16S ribosomal RNA". It matches the Rfam family "Bacterial small subunit ribosomal RNA", at positions 524 to 776 of the family's 1533-position model. The record is from RNAcentral.
UACAGAGGUGGCAAGCGUUGUUCGGAAUUACUGGGCGUAAAGGGCGCGUAGGCGGCCCUGUAAGUCAAAGGUGAAAUCCCUCGGCUCAACUGAGGAACUGCCUUUGAAACUGCAGGGCUUGAGUCCGGGAGGGGGUAGCGGAAUUCCCAGUGUAGCGGUGAAAUGCGUAGAUAUCUGGAGGAACACCGGUGGCGAAGGCGGCGUUCUGGACUGUAACUGACACUGAGAAACGAAAGCCAGGGUAGCAAACGGG